This 1045-nucleotide long non-coding RNA is filed under the name Homo sapiens (human). Its description in RNAcentral is "HSALNT0158697". The record is from RNAcentral. Lineage: Eukaryota; Metazoa; Chordata; Mammalia; Primates; Hominidae.
UGGAAGCCUACAAGAAAGGUAGUCGAGAUUGAGAAGUUUUGAAAUGCAAAUGAACGAGCUUAAGCACAUAUUACACGUAGAAAUGGUGGAAAUUCGCUUUCCUGGGUCUUGGAAUAGUUCCUCCUUGGGGAAAAAUCUAGCUUGGACAUUAGCUUGAUGUAUUCAAAAUGGAGUGUUGGCGUUGGGCAGGUUCGAAAACAUCAUUAUGUUGUAACCCCAACACCAGACUCGACAGGAACUGUAUAUGGGUAAGUGGCUGGAAAUAAGAAGGAAGGCAGGACCCAAUUGGAGUCCAGGGACACAGGACAUUUUUCAAGUUCAAACAAACAAAGCAUCUCUGUUGGCUAGUUAAGUUCACCAGUCACCAGAGGAGAAAACAGACAUGCCCAAGGAGACACUAUUUCUUAGUGCCAACACUUAUAUAUAUCUUCCUGUUCACAAUUAGUCUUUGAGAGGCAGAGUAAGAUAUUGUAAAUCUAUUGUUGCACGUACUCACUGCGUAUUUAGAAGUUCUUGGGGCACUGUGUAAGUGUAGGAGAAGAUAGAUGGAGUAUCUAAUUAAUCUAAAGAUAAAAAUGAAUGAGGUAGAAUCCAUUCAGUAGACUAAUAAAUAGUUCUUAAGAUCUAGUAGGAUUUCUCUUUUGGAGUGUGGAGACAUAGUGUGGAGACAUUUGCUAAUGUAGCCAUAAAGAUAGACCUAUUGUCCAUUGCAAUGAAAGCAACAAAUACUAUAACAUAAAAUAUUUCCAAAUUGGUUUGGGUGAAAAUAAGCUUGUUUCCCAAUAAAUGUCAGAUGGCACUUGUUGUAAGAGGUAACUUUGAAGAAAUUUAAAUUAAUAUAUUAUUUCCAGCCAAAAACGUCAUGCAUUUUUAGAAGUUCACAAAAGUCUGUAAAAUAUGCACACAAAUGUCCAUCAAUUGUAAUUUAUUUCAAUAAAGAAAGGUAGCUUAUACCACUUGUGGCCAUCAGAUUUCCUAUAGACUAUGCCUCAAGAAAUUAUCUAAAUCUAAGGUGUUAGCAAAAUAGUGCUUACAUGUAUUUUAU